CAGACUAUGUUACAAAAAUAGUGUGCAAAUUACGAAAUGAUGACAUAGGAACAUAUUGCAAUGAAGAUGUAUUAAUUCAAAGGUUUGGUUCUAUGUUGUUUGACAAAUAUGGAACUACACAAUGUGAACUAAUAAGGCAAUCUACGAGACAACUGGCACGCUUAACUUUAAAGUUACGUGAAAUUGACAAUUCAAAAAGGCAAUUGACAGAUUUUCUUGUACCUCGAAUGUUUGACCUAAUAAUUCAAGCAACAAAAUUUUUAUGUGUAACACAUCAAAAUGUCGCACUAAGGCCUGAAUUUGAGUUACCGCCACUAGCAUUGAAAAAAUGUGCUUACGAGGUGGUAAUGAAAUAUUGUUAUGCUUUUUAAGUCUAAUGGACUUGGAAUGGAGUACCAGAGUCUCAUCAAGUGCGCUUGCUACUAUGUAUAAUAGAAAAAUGAAUGCUGCUGAAUUGUUGCCAUUAACAUGACCAAAGAACAAAUUUCUCUAUCAAAUUGUGCAACAAUUAAGACGUGGAGUCGACUGGCUUCCCUAACUCUUAGUAAGAUAAUUCUUUUUAAUAAAAGAAGAUCAGGGGAAGCCGCACGAAUGACAAUUGUUGCCUAUUGUUCAAGACCUAAUUGGUCCAGUCAGUCUACAGAGGAGCUAAAAAAAUAUCUUACCGACUUUGUCAAGUAUUCAAUUUAUCGGAGACUGAUUAUGAUUGGAUUGCGCGACAUCUUGGACAUGAUAUCAGGGUGCACCGUGAAUUUUACAGGCUGCUUGAAAGUGCAGUCGAGUUAACAAAAGUUAGCCGCAUAUUGUUAGCAGUUGAAAAAGGGCAAGUAAACAAAUUCGCUGGAAAGUCAUUGGAUGAAAUUAAUUUAGACGAUAUUCCAACUGAAACGUUACAAAGCGAUGAAGAAGAUGAAGACGCAAUACCAACCCAGGCAAGCGUAGGAGAAAAUGAGGACCUGAAUUAAAGCGAAUAUCCAGGUACGAUUAAGGAGGCAAAGAUCGUUUCAGAGUUUGUUAAAUCGCCUGUCGUCCAGGUUGCACAGAAAGAGGCAGUAGCUAAGUCAAAAAGCAGUGCCCGACGCCCUUGGUCUUCCGACGAAAAGCAGUUCGUUUUAAAAUUCUUCAUAAGUUCAAUCAAACGAGGCACUGUUCCUGGAAAAUCGGAUUGUACGAAAUGUAUAGAAGAAAGUAAUGGCAUAUUGGCUCUCAGGUCCUGGACUGACGUAAAAUUUUGUGUCAAAAAUCACUUGGAUAAAUUGAAAAAACAAAAUUCAAAGAUGUUCUAAUACUUAUAUUAUGGUUUUUGAUUUAUGUUUCAUUUUUCUAACAUGUACUUUAUAUUGUAAAGUUGAUCCGUACUUUUUUAUUUUAAUCUUGUAGGUACAGGGUUAUUCAUUUCAUUUUGACUCGUACCUACAGCCUUGAUUAGAGUUAAUAAAAAAAGAACUUUAAAUACAAUAGUUGUAGGGUUUGUUAUGUUUUAGUGAUAUCAACACAAAACAUUUGUAUUUACAAAUUGUAAACAAAUUUCAGACUUGUAUUUUUUGUAAAGAACGCCCUGUGUAUUAUGAGCUAAAAUAAAAUCUGUCAUUUAUAUUUGAACGAUCAAUUCUAAACUCAUAUACUUUAAAAACUAAUGAAGCCAGUAUCAACUAGAUUUAUAUUUUUAAAAUUACGAUAAGGACAGCUUUUAUUUUAGGUAAUGAUAUACAGGAUUUAAAAAAAGGAAUAAAAUAAAAAAAUAAAAGACAAUUUUUUACAAUUUUUAAAAACAAAUAUUUUCUUUUGAUAUCUC
Molecule: long non-coding RNA, 1795 nt
Organism: Cylas formicarius (sweet potato weevil)
Lineage: Eukaryota; Metazoa; Arthropoda; Insecta; Coleoptera; Brentidae
Exons: 4
Source: RefSeq, a predicted model, not a curated record